UCAGUUGGUAGAGCGGAGGACUGUAGUG
RNAcentral lists this non-coding RNA (28 nucleotides) under Cricetulus griseus (Chinese hamster). Lineage: Eukaryota; Metazoa; Chordata; Mammalia; Rodentia; Cricetidae. The record is from RNAcentral.